GACGAACGCUGGCGGCGUGCCUAAUACAUGCAAGUCGAGCGCGGGAAGCAGGCAGAUCUCCUUCGGGAGUGACGCCUGUGGAACGAGCGGCGGACGGGUGAGUAUCACGUGGGCAACCUGCCUGUAAGAUCGGGAUAACUCGUGGAAACGCGAGCUAAGACCGGAUAUCAUCUCUCACCGCAUGGUGAGAGAUUGAAAGGCGGCUUCUGGCUGCCACUUACAGAUGGGCCCGCGGCGCAUUAGUUAGUUGGUGGGAUCAAAGCCUACCAAGGCCACGAUGCGUAGCCGACCUGAGAGGGUGAUCGGCCACACUGGAACUGAGACACGGUCCAGACUCCUACGGGAGGCAGCAGUAGGGAAUCAUCCGCAAUGGACGAAAGUCUGACGGUGCAACGCCGCGUGAGUGAAGAAGGUCCUUGGAUCGUAAAACUCUGUUGUCAGGGAAGAACAGAUACAGUUCGAACAGGGCUGUAUUAUGACGGUACCUGACCAGAAAGCCCCGGCUAACUACGUGCCAGCAGCCGCGGAUAUACGUAGGGGGCAAGCGUUGUCCGGAAUUAUUGGGCGUAAAGGGCGCGCAGGCCGUCUUUUAAGUCUGAUGUGAAAGCCCGCGGCUUAACCGCGGCAGGUCAUUGGAAACUGAAGGACUUGAGUACAGAAGAGGAGAAUGGAAUUCCACGUGUAGCCGGUUAAAUGCGUA
RNAcentral lists this ribosomal RNA (700 nucleotides) under uncultured bacterium. RNAcentral describes it as "bacterial SSU rRNA". It matches the Rfam family "Bacterial small subunit ribosomal RNA", at positions 28 to 692 of the family's 1533-position model. The record is from RNAcentral.